UCAGAACGAACGCUGGCGGUAUGCUUAACACAUGCAAGUCGAACGGGUGUAGCAAUACAUCAGUGGCAAACGGGUGAGGAAUGUAGAGGAAUCUCCCCAGCAGUAAGGAAUAACCUUGGGAAACCAAGGCUAAUGCCAUAUAUCACCGACGCAAGUCGGGAAAGAUUUAUCGCUGUUAGAUGAGCCUCUAUCCCAUUAGCUUGUUGGUAGGGUAAAGGCCUACCAAGGCAAUGAUCCGUAGCUGGUCUGAGAGGAUGAUCAGCCACACUGGAACUGAGAUACGGUCCAGACUCCUACGGGAGGCAGCAGUGGGGAAUAUUGGACAAUGGGCGCAAGCCUGAUCCAGCAAUACCGCGUGAGUGAUGACGGCCUUCGGGUUGUAAAGCUCUUUUAAUAGGGAAGAUAAUGACGGUACCUAUAGAAAAAGCACCGGCAAACUUCGUGCCAGCAGCCGCGGUAAUACGAAGGGUGCAAGCGUUGUUCGGAAUUAUUGGGCGUAAAGAGUACGUAGGCGGCUUAGUAAGUCGGUUGUGAAAUCCCCAGGCUCAACCUGGGAACUGCGACCGAAACUGCUUCGCUAGAGUUUGGUAGGGGAUAAUGGAAUUCCUAGUGUAGGGGUGAAAUCCGUAGAUAUUAGGAGGAAUAUCGGUGGCGAAGGCGAUUAUCUGGGCCAAUACUGACGCUGAGGUACGAAAGCGUGGGGAGCAAACAGGAUUAGAUACCCUGGUAGUCCACGCAGUAAACGAUGAAUGCUAGUUGUCGGGGCUUUAAGCUUCGGUGGCGAAGUUAACACGAUAAGCAUUCCGCCUGGGGACUACGGUCGCAAGACUAAAACUCAAAGGAAUUGACGGGGACCCGCACAAGCAGUGGAUCAUGUGGUUUAAUUCGAUGUUACACGAAAAACCUUACCAGCUCUUGACAUCCCGUUGACCGGUACAGAGAUGUACUUUUGGAGCAAUCCACAACGGUGACAGGUGUUGCACGGCCGUCGUCAGCUCGUGUCGUGAGAUGUUAGGUUAAGUCCUUAAACGAGCGCAACCCUCAUCCUUAUUUGCCAGCGAGUAAUGUCGGGAAAUAUAAGGAAACUGCCAGCGAUAAGCUGGAGGAAGGCGGGGAUGAUGUCAAGUCAUCAUGGCCCUUAUGGGCUGGGCUACACACAUGAUACAAUGGUGGUUACAGCGGGAUGCGAAGCAGCAAUGUUGAGCCAAUCCUUCAAAAGCCAUCUCAGUUCAGAUUGGGGGCUGCAACUCGCCCCCAUGAAGUUGGAAUUGCUAGUAAUCGCAGAUCAGCACGCUGCGGUGAAUACGUUCUCGGGUCUUGUACACACUGCCCGUCAAGCCAUGGAAGUUGUUUCUACCCGAAUAGGCUGAGCUAACCGCAAGGAGGCAGGUCUACACGGUAGGAGGGGUGACUGGGGUU
This 1419-nucleotide ribosomal RNA is filed under the name uncultured prokaryote. RNAcentral's name for it is "partial 16S ribosomal RNA". It matches the Rfam family "Bacterial small subunit ribosomal RNA". The record is from RNAcentral.